GAUGAACGCUGGCGGCAUGCCUAAUACAUGCAAGUCGAGCGAACAGACGAGGAGCUUGCUCCUCUGACGUUAGCGGCGGACGGGUGAGUAACACGUGGAUAACCUACCUAUAAGACUGGGAUAACUUCGGGAGACCGGAGCUAAUACCGGAUAAUAUAUUGAACCGCAUGGUUCAAUAGUGAAAGACGGUUUUGCUGUCACUUAUAGAUGGAUCCGCGCCGCAUUAGCUAGUUGGUAAGGUAACGGCUUACCAAGGCAACGAUGCGUAGCCGACCUGAGAGGGUGAUCGGCCACACUGGAACUGAGACACGGUCCAGACUCCUACGGGAGGCAGCAGUAGGGAAUCUUCCGCAAUGGGCGAAAGCCUGACGGAGCAACGCCGCGUGAGUGAUGAAGGUCUUCGGAUCGUAAAACUCUGUUAUUAGGGAAGAACAAAUGUGUAAGUAACUAUGCACGUCUUGACGGUACCUAAUCAGAAAGCCACGGCUAACUACGUG
RNAcentral lists this ribosomal RNA (497 nucleotides) under uncultured bacterium. RNAcentral's name for it is "partial 16S ribosomal RNA". It matches the Rfam family "Bacterial small subunit ribosomal RNA", at positions 28 to 507 of the family's 1533-position model. The record is from RNAcentral.